Molecule: unclassified non-coding RNA, 1357 nt
Filed under: Hevea brasiliensis (rubber tree)
Lineage: Eukaryota; Viridiplantae; Streptophyta; Magnoliopsida; Malpighiales; Euphorbiaceae
Source: RNAcentral
CUACUCUCUUCGAUCUCAUCCUGGUCCGUAUUCUGUUCAAUUUUAGUGCAUAUUAAUUUGAUAGAUCAUUUUUUAUAACAUUAUUUAGAUAUGGAAUUGUGCGUUAUGAUUUGGGAUUUUUUUUUCUUAGUUUUUGAAUUUUUGUGAUAUUUAUGGGUGAUAUGCCUAGGGUUUUACUCUAUUUUAUUUUGAUUAGAUAUGUCUUUAAAAAUCAUGAAAUUCUGCCUUAAAUGUUUUGGAAGCCCUUGUUGUUACUGGCUGCACUGUUUUCUUCCUAUCUGAUAGAAUUGAGGAAUUAAACUUGUUCUGGCAGUAUGGCUAGCCUGAAUAGUUGAAUAAGAAAGUUUACCCUCUUUUUGAUCUGUUUAUGCCUCAUAUAUAUAUGGUAGAAAAGGGGAGACAAGCUCUAAAAACACUACAGGGUACAAACUCUAGAAUACGACACUCCAGAGGACUCAUGAAGAAGCCAAGAAGUAAUUCCGGCAGGAGGAGCUUUGAACACAUGCAGACCCAUAGGUAAAGAGGACGCAUAUUGAGCUAGCUAGUCAGCACAGACAUUGGCUUCUAUGUAGAUAUGAUAAAUGCCAACCUUCCUAUCCACAUCAACUAAUUCUUUGGUGGAAUUAACAAGAGCAUGGAUGCAUUUCUUCUCCCUUCUUUCCCUCACUCAACCUUCAUUCCUCACUACUGGUCUAGGAGGGAAAUUUCAAAGCUUGUUGGUUCAAUACACAGUGCUUCACAAGUUUUUGAGUAUUUGAUCUAUGGAUUCAAGUUUAAAUUGAUGUAAUUACUUUAAGGAUUGCUGGGUAUAGAUUUUCUUUUUCUACAUGAAAAUGGUUAUUUGAUCUAUGGAUUUAAGUUUAAAUUGAUGUAACUACUUUAAGGAUUGCUGGGUAUAAAUGUUCUUUUUCAAUAUGAGAAUCAUUGUGUAUUUGAUUGCAAAUCAAUUUAGUGUUAUACUCUUUCAUUGAAGAUCGAAGUGGACAGGGAGAUUGCUGAGGAGUUCAAAACUGAAUUACCAAACCGAAAUUGAACUGAAUUUGUGUGGUUCAGUUCAGUUUGGUUCUCUUGCUUAUUCGGUUCGGUUUGGUUUGUAGAAAUUAAGAUUUUAAUUUGGGUUUGGCGGUUCGGUUUGGUUUGAACCGAAUGCUCAUCCCUAUCUCCAAAUGGUACAAUGCUUAAUGAUUCUGUGAGCAACCUGCUUUUAUUGAUGUAGGUGUCUGUUUGAAUUUGUCUCAAAUUGUGUCAAUGUUGUGUUGUGGCAGUGAUUUUAACCUUUUAUUAUGCCACUGGAAGGAGGGAUCUUGUUUUGACUUGAAGUUGUCUGGUUUCAGGCUGCCAACUAUCUAAACAUCAA